CCAGAAAGCUGAGACACAGUCUUCACA
This 27-nucleotide non-coding RNA is filed under the name Mus musculus (house mouse). The record is from RNAcentral. Lineage: Eukaryota; Metazoa; Chordata; Mammalia; Rodentia; Muridae.